Long non-coding RNA from Bombus terrestris (buff-tailed bumblebee), 857 nucleotides. RefSeq lists it as uncharacterized. The record is from RefSeq and is a predicted model, not a curated record. The transcript has 2 exons. Lineage: Eukaryota; Metazoa; Arthropoda; Insecta; Hymenoptera; Apidae.
UUCGUCUCCUUGUUUUCUGUAUUUUUUCUACUAUUGAUUUGAUGUGUAGUUUCCAUGUGAGUUGAGUAUCUACGUGGAGUCCUAGGUAUUUGACAUGCUUUGUUUGCAUUAUAUGCAUAAACAUGUCUUGACACAAAAUAAAUAAAAUUACAGAAUAAAUCGAUCUUAUCGUAAAUGUAUUGGCUAGUUUCAAUAUUCGAUUAAUUGGAUCAUUUGAACUAUAUUUAGAUUUUUCCGCAGCUAGCCGGUUUGGGUAUGAUGCUAUUCUUGAUUUGUAUUUUUCUGAGUAUUUGAUAAUUUCUUCCUUGACCGUUGGGAUUUCCAGGUCUCUCCGUAUGUCGUCAUUUCGAACGUACCAUGGUGCGUUUACUAUCGUUCUAAGAAUUUUAGCUUGCUGGGUGAUUUCCGUUACACUUAUAACAUCUAACUUCCUCUAUUUUUGCGGUGGAUGGGCAGUGUAUUGUUAAAUGGUUUUUUGCACAUUUAACACAUGCCGGGCUUCUAUUGCAAUAAUUUUUUGUGUGGCUGUAUUGCUGACACCUUAUGCAUUGAUGGAUAUCUUUUUCAUGUCUAGGUCGCUCCACUUUUACUAUUGUGUUUAGUAAUUUUGUUAUAUCCUAUAUGUCUUUGUUAUUAUUUCUAGGUUCUAGUUCGACUAGAAAUAGCGGUAAUGGUUGUUUAGUAUCAUAUUUGGCUAAGUUGUUCAUAUACUUUACCUGAUGUCCGAUUUUUGCUAGUUCUUCGAUUAUUUAGUCGGUGUUUGUUUUUGGGUGUAAUCCCCUGAUUACUAUUUUGCGGCUUUUAUCGGAUUUGAGCUUGUAGGUGUGAUACCCUGCAUUUUUAUCCUUUAGCGAUCU